Molecule: RNA transcript, 2629 nt
Organism: Alligator mississippiensis (American alligator)
Lineage: Eukaryota; Metazoa; Chordata; Crocodylia; Alligatoridae
Gene: CCDC9
Gene name: coiled-coil domain containing 9
Exons: 15
Source: RefSeq, a predicted model, not a curated record
GGCGCCACCUGGCGGAUGCAUGGGCAGCGGCUGGGGGCGGGGCUAAGGGUGCGGGCGGGGGGGCCCACGUGCCGAGGCCGCUUUACGAGCCCCCCCCCAGUCGGAAGCGGAAAUGUGUGCCACGUGGGGGGGGCGGAGUGGCGCCCGGGUUCCGUCCCAGCUGCCGGGAAAGGCGGCCUGAGUGGAGCAGAGCCGCGCGGCGCGGUGCCCGCCGGGAUGUCGGCCGCGCUGGACCUGAAGUCGAAGGAGGAGAAGGACGCGGAGCUGGACCGGCGCAUCGCGGCGCUGCACAAGAAGAACGAGGCUUUUCUCCGGCGCUACCAGGAGAUCGAGGAGGACCGGAAGCGAGCGGAGCAGGAGGGCAUCGCCGUGACGGCGGCGCGCCGGCCGCGCACCAGCGAGAGCGACGCGGAGCGCCCGCGCGGCGACAAGAAUCUCUCCCUCGUCGUCCAGGUUGCGCUGAGCCCGGGGGAGAAGCGCGUCGUCAGCGACCGGCGCUCACCCACGGCCCCCAAGCCCGGGCGCUCGGCUCCCCGCGGCGCGGGGCGUGCGGGGCCCUACCCCUCCAGCCGCUCGCCGCGGGGGGAGCCCCCCAGCCAGCCCCCUUGGGAAGGGGCGGGGGGUGCUGGCGGGGAUGCGGCGCUCCCUGGCGAGCGCGGGGGUGGGGGCCGGGGCCGGCGCUUCCGGGGCCGCGGAGGGGCCGGCGCGGUGCUGGCGGCCGGAGACGCCGGACCCGACCGGAAGUCCAAGGAGUGGGAGGAGCGGAGGCGGCAGAACAUCGAGAAGAUGAACGAGGAGAUGGAGAAGAUCGCGGAGUAUGAGCGCAACCAGCGGGACGGGCUGCGCGAGAGGAACCCGGUGCGCAACUUCCUGGAUGACCCACGGCGCAGCGGCCCCUUCCAGGAGGUCGACCGCAAGGAGGGGAGCCGGCGCCACGGACGCAACUGGGGGGGCUCCGACUUCGACAAGGUCAAGACAGGCAUGGAGCGCGAGAAGGAGUGGCGCACCCCGGGUCAGCGGCCAGGCCCCAGGGGCCGGGGGGCGCUGGACAUGACGCUGUCCAUGACGGGCCGGGAGCGCGCCGAGUACAUGCGCUGGAAGCAGGAGCGGGAGCAGAUCGACCAGGAGCGGCUGGCGCGGCAUCGCAAGCCCACGGGCCAGUGGCGCCGGGAGUGGGACGCCGAGAAGACGGACACCAUGUUCAAGGAAGGGUCUGCGCCAGCGCCGGGCCCGGAUGGAGGCAGCCGGCAGGACGAGAGCCGGCGCCCGCCCAAGCCACCCACCUUCGGGGAGUUCCUGUCCGAGCACCGCAGCGAGCGCCGCAGGAAGGGCCGCGGCCGGGGCGGGGGCACCUCCACCAAGCCCUACAGCAUGCACGACAACCGCUGGGAGGAGAAGGAGACGCUGCCUCCAGCUGAGGAGAGCGACUGCAGCCCGGGGCCGAGGGGAGAGGCCGUGAGCCCGGCUGCCCAGACACCCCCAGAGCCACCAGCACCUCCAGUCCCCGAGGAAGACGAGGACCAGUGGGAGGAUGUCAGUGGCGAGGAAGAGGAGGAAGACGAGGGGGAUGAGGAGGAGGAUGAAGACGGGUCUGGGUCAUCGGACGAGGACAAGGCACCUCCUCCGGGCUCCCCCAAGGCGCAGCGGGCCCCAAAGGCCGGGCGGGGGGCGGCCCCCAAGCUGGCCAUGCCCCCGGCAGGGGUCCCGGCUGGCGAAGGCAAACCCCUCAGCCCCUUCUCCCCGGUCGAGGGCUACCGGCCUGUCUCGGACUGGGGUGAGGAGAUGGAGCUGAACUCGCCGCGUGGCAACCUGGGGCACAGUCCCCUGCAGGGCCUUGGUGCUGGCCCCCAGGCUCAGGGAGUCAGCGUGGCUGGAGCGGCCACAGACCUGAGCCCCCCAGCGCCCAGCGAGUGCCCGGGAGGGCAGGGAGCACCAGAGGCCGCGCGGCAGGAGGCGGCCGAGCCCGUGGGGGAUGCGGAGGCGCCGGCAGCCCCUGGCAUGACGGAGGCACCGGAGUCGGUGACCCCCACAGCCACCACGGAGCUUGAGGCACCAGGUGCCAGGGUGUCGCGGUGACGCCGCCCGCCGCUGAGCCGGCUCCGGGCACGGUGGAGAUCACGGACUUUGCACGGGGCAGCGGAGGGCCCUGACCCACUCGUCCAGGACCCUGCAGCCUGCUGAGCCUUUCCGAGUAGCGGGGUCUUCGGAGGGACGUGGCCUCACCAUGCAUCUUGCUGCGGUUCAGCCGUUGGCCUCGCUCCGGGGACUCGCUUGUGGGCCUGCAGGGGCAAAGGGGGCAGAGACCCUUCCCGCAGCUGGCGCCGGAGGGGCUGCGGGGGCCUGGCUGUCGGGGCGGGUGGAGCUGUGCCCUUGAGGUUGCCUCUCGUACCCCAGGGGAGCCCGUCUGGCCCCCAGUGCCCAGGGGAUGUUAACCCUCUGCUGCCUGCACCUGGCUGGCACAGGGCGCCGGGCUUCCCCGCUGUCCCCCGGGAAGCUUCGUUCUCCCAUCGGACGCCGGUGAGCGGUUUCUUCCUGGGCUGCUUUGUAUUGUGUCAGGACCGACCGUGUCUCCUCUCUUCUGUUUCUUACAAUAAAGUGGGGACAAGCCCUUGGUCCCCACCGUGCUCUC